UGGCUCAGAACGAACGCUGGCGGCGUGCCUAACACAUGCAAGUCGAACGAGAAAGUUUCUUCGGAAACGAGUAAAGUGGCGCACGGGUGAGUAACACGUGAAUAAUCUGCCUUCGAGACUGGGAUAACUUGACGAAAGUUAAGCUAAUACCAGAUAAGACCACGCUUUACAAGGAGUGCGGGAAAAGGGAUCUCAAAUCCUGCUCGUAGAUGAGUUCGCGUACCAUUAGCUUGUUGGUGAGAUAAAAGCUCACCAAGGCGACGAUGGUUAGCCGGCCUGAGAGGGUGAUCGGCCACACUGGAACUGAGACACGGUCCAGACUCCUACGGGAGGCAGCAGUGGGGAAUCUUGCGCAAUGGGCGAAAGCCUGACGCAGCAACGCCGCGUGAGCGAUGAAGGCCUUCGGGUCGUAAAGCUCUGUCAAGUGGGAAGAACACAAUGACGGUACCACUAGAGGAAGCCCCGGCUAACUUCGUGCCAGCAGCCGCGGUAAUACGAAGGGGGCAAGCGUUGUUCGGAAUUAUUGGGCGUAAAGCGUAUGUAGGUGGUUUAUCAAGUCAGACGUGCAAGCCCUCGGCUCAACCGAGGAAUUGCGUUUGAAACUGAUAGACUUGAGUGUAGGAGAGGAAAGCGGAAUUCCCAGUGUAGCGGUGAAAUGCGUUGAUAUUGGGAAGAACACCGGUGGCGAACGCAGCUUUCUGGCCUGCUACUGACACUGAGAUACGAAAGCCAGGGGAGCAAAGGGGAUUAGAUACCCCCGUAGUC
RNAcentral lists this ribosomal RNA (765 nucleotides) under uncultured bacterium. Its description in RNAcentral is "bacterial SSU rRNA". It matches the Rfam family "Bacterial small subunit ribosomal RNA", at positions 20 to 795 of the family's 1533-position model. The record is from RNAcentral.